This 352-nucleotide ribosomal RNA is filed under the name uncultured Piloderma. RNAcentral describes it as "eukaryotic LSU rRNA". The stretch from base 1 to 122 matches the Rfam family "5.8S ribosomal RNA", at positions 33 to 154 of the family's 154-position model. Lineage: Eukaryota; Fungi; Basidiomycota; Agaricomycetes; Atheliales; Atheliaceae. The record is from RNAcentral.
UCGAUGAAGAACGCAGCGAAAUGCGAUAAGUAAUGUGAAUUGCAGAAUUCAGUGAAUCAUCGAAUCUUUGAACGCACCUUGCGCUCCUUGGUAUUCCGAGGAGCAUGCCUGUUUGAGUGUCAUUAAAUUCUCAAACUCCGAUCGAUUUGUUUCGACUUCGGGGCUUGGAUUUGGAGCGUGCUGGCGUCGGUCGGCUCCUCUUAAACGCAUCAGCGGAAUCUAACGUUCCGGACGUCAGUGUGAUAAUCACGUUGCGCUGUCUUUCGGUCCGAAAAGCCCGCUCACAAUGGUCUUCGGACAACUUCAUAUCAAAUUUGACCUCAAAUCAGGUAGGACUACCCGCUGAACUUAA